GACACCACUUCCUCCACUUCCCCCUCCCCUCCCCUCUCCUUUUUCUCUCUGGCCUUGUCACCUGACAUCAUCUUUUUCACCCACUCUUUCCCGCUCUUCUGCUCCUUUCCUGCCGCCGCGCAGAACCCUUUUCACCACUGUUAGUUUUUGAGAUCAAUUUUUGUAUUUUCGCAUUUUGAGAUUCUUUAAAAAGAAAAUCAGGUGAACGCAAUUUAAAGGAAUAUACAACAAUGUCAUUGAGUAAAUUCUUUGUUACAUGAUGAAUAUAAUGUGUUUUAUACCGAAUAGGUAAGACCUUUGGAAAUGAAAUUUUCAACUUCUGUUGAGCAUUUAAAUUAAAAUAAAUACAUUGUUUUCCUCAUAAUUGUGUGAUCACCCGCGUAUUGUUUUCAUGUCUGUUGGUAGUUAUUUCUGUCCUUCAAUUAAAAGGGAUGGACGUUCUUUGCUGUCCCCUGAUUCAUCUCAUGGCACCAUCUCAGUUUAGAGACAUCCGGUCCCAUCGGGUUUAGUUUGAAAACCUUGAACUGCAGUACCCACUGUUCACUAACAUUUACCUCUAAUUACCAGGCUCAUUAAAGCAUCGAAUUAGCAGCGAAAGUCUUUCAGCCUCUACGCUGUGCUUAAUCGUUAAGCAAAUGAAGCGCCACAAGUUGGAAGUGAUUACUAUUGAGAUGUAAGUGCCGCGGACCCAUGAAAUGUCACUCAGCUGCCCUUAAAAGACAGGAUAGAAGGGAAAAGGGACUGAAAGCAAUUUACUUCCACUUGGUGGGAAAGCUGUUUUGUGUGCGCACAGAGAGGUCUUCAAACCUCACACGGCUAUUAUUCUACUGCUACACGCUGUGAGAAACAGCUUCUCCAGAAGGUCAACGUCAUUUACAUCUAAAAAAAAAAGAAAAAAAAAAGGCUGACAGCUGCUUACCUGUCGAGUUAAUACAAACUUCUCGAACCUUCAGGUCACUUCCACUCCACAGUCCCCCAUUCAACUACACGCACACGCAUGCAUAUUGACACACACACACACACACACUGCUGCUUGGUAUUCAGGAGGUCAAGAUUAAACAGCUCUUUCAUUUGUUGAUCCUCCUAGGUCACAACCUUGAAUAGGUAAUGUCAGAUUAACUGAUUGGUUGAUUCUUCUGAGAGAAUAAAUUGAACAUAUUGACUAUGAAUAUUUGACCACUUCUGUCAUGUGGGUAAGCACAUAUACACACACUGCGGUCAAGGCCAUGAAAGUAGUGAAAUCAACCUCUGCAACUUUGCAAAUUGACAAGAUGUCAGUGUGUAAUGUGAAAUGGUGCAGAGCAACACAUGAGACAACGCCGAAGUCUGUUGGUUGGUGUAAAGAAAUGAUUCACACAUGAUGAUGCGAGACCCGAGACACGAGUUGUCGCUGAGCACAAUCUGUAGAUGUGUUGAAAUUCAACACGUGCCAUUUUUGACACACGCCUGCUGUCAGCUUUGUGUUUCUCAGGUACAACCUGUCCCUACGCGCACAACGUGUCAUCAAAAUAAACUUCGCUCUCAACUUGAAGGUUAAACCGAGGCAAAACAAAACCACUUAAGUUUUGGGAAACAAGAUUUUUUAUUUUUUUUUACAGCACUCACACUCAGUUGGCCUGAGUGUGUAAUAAGGACGCAGGCGCGUUUACGUUGGAGUUAGACGCUAGCCGAGUGCAUUGCAUCCAUGCGCUAAAGGUCGCCCCAGCGGGCUGGCAAGGCACAAGGCUAGAGACGCCACGGGUGCAGCAGGAGACGGGGUUAAUGUGCUGUAUCGCUAUCCGGAAGACCUCCUCCUAUUAGAAGCCACUCAUCUCCCGUGACUCUUUCUACCUUCACACUUCUAUUUCUAUCUGUCUCUCUAGGUUUCCCCACUCUCCAUUUCAUGGCUGUUUUCUUCUCCUAUUUGCUUGACAAGACAAUGGAUAAUAACCCCGCAAUAGCACUGAGACCGGCAAAUGAGAGUAAUCAAGCUGUCUUGUCCUGGUGGCGUUCAGGUUCACUCAUCAAACCCUAAUUAUCACCCUGGAAACCAAUGUUCCGCUUUAAUUGUUCUGAUGAAUGAAAUAUUACUGAAACGAGUCGGGCUGCAGCCGAGCGGAAAAACUGCUUCCAGCCAUAAAACACGGUAGAGGAGGAGGAGGAGGAGGAGGAGGAGGAGGAAGAGAAGGAGGAGAAGGAGGAGGAGAAGUGAAGGUGACUCAGGAGAGAACGAUACGAAAAAAGCCGGCUCAAGUAAUGGAUAAAUAGAGUUCAUCGUGACUUAAAAUAUGAAGGAGAGGGAAAUGGUAGAACCAAAAAAAAUAGUUCAGGCAUUCUGGCAAAUGACUUGAGGAUGUUUAAGUGCAGUCUAAUUGCUUCAGGACAGCAAACCCGGAGGCGUCUGGCCGGUAAUCGAGACGGAGUGCAUCCAGAGAUUUCUUACAUGGCUCCCAGCUGAGUUUUUGCAAUAAAAAAAAAAAAACGUUAUUGGGCCGGCAGAGUUAUAAACUAUUACACUCAUCUAUGGAUCCCCACUGAUGUAAAACAUCUGUAAUUAAAUCAUGAAUACUGCACGUCUUCAGGCAGCUAUCAUAAAUCUUAAUUAAACAGAUCUGUGCUGCAUUUUUGGAAGUCAUCAGAUGUAACACCUUAAGAUAUUGGUUUCUUGUCUUGCUUUCUCCGAUUUGAUUUGAAGACAUCUAGUGCAAAACAAACCAUGAAAUGAAACAGUUGGACAGAACAUCUGCCAAACGUGUAACUGUCGUGGGCUUGAAAUGAUUCCUUGAGGCUGCCAGGUGAAUGCGUCCUCUAUACCUCCACGCACAGGACACACAUAAAUGCGCACUACGUUUGCAAAACUCUUCUUGCUACCUGAAUAGGAAUCUUGACACCUUGCGCUGUGUCAUCAAUAAUGGAGUGUAUGGAACACAUCCACAGGGGUUUGUAGCAUUAUUGAUACCAGCCCGUCCCCCAGUUGUUCUCAUAGCAGAAACAGCAGGAGUGGAGCCGCAGAGAGGAGAGGAAGACGCCUGUUAGGGUCAGAAGGAGUCUGGCCUCACAAACACACACACACACACACACACACACACACAUCUGUCUGCAGAAACACAUGCAGGUGUACGGUUGAACACACACACAUACUGUAGAUUGUGCGCGCACAAACACAAAUCUUUUUAACUGUCUUUCUCACCCUCACUUUGAUUGAUGAAUAACCCGCAGCUAUCCCCUGUGUGGACAGAUGGAGUGCUGCAUGCUGUGUGUGCAAAUGAACGCGAUGUUAAAAGGAUGGAAGCUGGAUGGGUGAAAGUAACUCCUCAAGGAGUUCCACUCCCAUGCAUGAAGGUAGGUAAUGUAAGAGAAAUAGUGUAGAGUAUUCAUAUUAUUAUUAGUAGUGACCUGCAAGAUCUGGCGACUUAAAACAAAUAUACAAUACAGUUUGAUUAGGAAUUUAAUAACAACCUACCACAGCAUGAUUGGUAAUAUAUUUAAGUUAGAGAGUUAACUCAUUGUAUCAGAAGUUGGCGGACUAAAUAGAGCAGCGUUGGGUUGAAGCGCUUUGCCAUCGCGUGACUGGCCUCCCUGAACAUCUUUGUCAAGAUUAAAUUAUAGAGCGCAUGUAACUGGUCCUGAAAAACUAUUCUUUAUUGUACAUUAUUUAUCUCUCGUAAAUACAUAAUAGUCUCCGCUAUACAACCAUGUGUACAACACGCACUCACACACACACACAAACACUUAUGAUUAUAUAUCGUAAUUUGUAAACUCCAUCAUUGUUGAGUCUUUAAAAAAAACAUCUUGUUAUUCUAGUAAACAAAAAGAUUUAAGCCAGAGAUUCCUUUAGUAAUCAUUGCUCCUUUUCUUUUUAGAAUGUGCGUUGAUGAAUUAUUUCACCUUCUUAUGUAUUCUGUAACUUAGAGGGGUUUAUGUGACACACCCAGAAAAAGCAACAUAUCAUAACUACCAGAGAGCCACAGCAACAAUCUAUAGAUUCUGCUGACAAAGUAGAGGUGGAAAAAACAUCCUCUCUAAGUUCACCGCGGCCUGAGACACAACAUUUCUCUUUCAAUUGCUGCUGUAUUUGGGAACGUGGAGAAGUAGGUUCUACUGGGAUGGUAAGAGUAGCUGUUUUGAUCUGAAAAAUGGGUUCUGAUCAUUUCCCAAAAGCAAACUCGUGCUUCGAAAUAUUCAAACAGGACCCAGUGACAGACACAAAUAUGAACUUUCAGAAAGAUGAUUAAAGACUUUCCUUCGGAAACAACGAACCAAAAUCAUCUUUGACAAAACAAUUUAAUGAGUUUGCUCAGCCCGCCUUUCAUUAAAGUAAUUCAAAGUUUACUCACACAACUCUUAUUUUAAGGUAGCAAAUAGCUGUAUACAGUAGCAUUCAUAUCAAAGGAGUAUGCUGCUUUUAAUUAAUGAUCUGCAUUUUGAAUUUACUACGUUUAAGAACAGGGCUUACUUAGUUGUAAAAAAAUACAUAUAAACGAUUUGGACCUAAAAGAGUCUCUUGGAGGAGUCAAUUAUUUGAAUAAAUAGACAAAUACAAGGAUGAGAUAUUUAGUCAAGCAUUUAUACCAGGCUUUCUGAUGAAAAUGUGUUGAUAUUGAUUUUGAUAAGAUUUAAUGACAUCAAAGCUCUGUGUUUAUCCAUCUGGACGUUAAUAUUUCUAAACUGUUAUUGAACAGAAUAAUCCAUUUGGUAAUUUAAAUGACAUGAUGUGAUGGAAUGAGACAACGUUCCUAAAGAGAGAUACCACACGAUACUCUUGUUGCCCCACAAAGAAAAGCCGCUGUUUCACUCAGAUGUCCAAUGAACGGAGCAAUAGAAUAUAAUACUCAUCAUAACUGUUGAUUUCACAGUGACAGCAGCUCAGCUCUCCGUGGGUCCAACAAGCAGCACCAGUGUGGCUCCUGCACGUCACAGACCUGGAAGUACCAUCACUUCAAUUUGCUAAAACUCACGCUGGGUCAUUUUGUUCUGUUUACUGUUGCAUGCAGUAAUUAGUUUAUAGGGGUCGUGCCACACACAUAUAUAUAUAUAUAUAUAUAUAUAU
This is a long non-coding RNA of Gasterosteus aculeatus aculeatus (three-spined stickleback), 5029 nucleotides long. The record is from Ensembl. Lineage: Eukaryota; Metazoa; Chordata; Actinopteri; Perciformes; Gasterosteidae.